GACAGUCGAGUUGUUUUCUUGAUUAUUCACUCAUUCACAGUUACUAAGCUGUGAAUGGAUGUUUGGAAAUAGAAGUGCGUCCAGAAAGUGACAUUAAAGCUAACUUUAUAAAGUAAAGGUGGUCCGGUGGUGCUUUUUAAAUGGCAAAAGAUUGAUAAGGCAUUGAAGAGUGUAAAGGAGAACUUUUAUCUUUAGGAAAGUAUAUAAAAUUUGAUAGAAACUAAAAUAGGAAAGGUACUGUUUGCCUAGGGAAUGAGGAAGUAGUUAAUAUGAUGUUUAUAUGAUCUAAGAACAGUUAUGUUUCUAGGGCGAUACAGAAGAUGAAAGCCAUGGAUUCAACCCUGUUGAAAGCCAGUAAACUCUUUCCUGAAUGCUCAGCAAUGGUGAAGAAACUUCGUGCAAUGACGUAUAACGCUGAGGAACAGCUUCGAUCGCAAAAGAAUCAAGCUUCCUUCCUUGUAAAUCUUGCUGGACGAACUACUCCGAAAGGCCUUCAUUGCCUCUCCAUGAGGUUGAGCAAUGGUGAAGAAACUUCGUGCAAUGACAUAUAACGCUGAGGAACAGCUUCGAUCGCAAAAGAAUCAAGCUUCCUUCCUUGUAAAUCUUGCUGGACGAACUACCCCGAAAGGCCUUCAUUGCCUCUCCAUGAGGUUGACCACUGAAUAUUUUU
Molecule: long non-coding RNA, 670 nt
Filed under: Nicotiana benthamiana
Lineage: Eukaryota; Viridiplantae; Streptophyta; Magnoliopsida; Solanales; Solanaceae
Description: long non-coding RNA (NBEN_LNC010201)
Source: RNAcentral